This 1230-nucleotide long non-coding RNA is filed under the name Fragaria vesca (wild strawberry). Its description in RNAcentral is "long non-coding RNA (FVES_LNC004281)". The record is from RNAcentral. Lineage: Eukaryota; Viridiplantae; Streptophyta; Magnoliopsida; Rosales; Rosaceae.
GGAUAAUUAGAAGGGAGGAGGGAGGAGGCUAGGGUUUCGGAGUUAAACCCGAAAACUUUAGCCGACGAAAUAAUUAUUUCGUCGGCUAAAGAUACGAAUUUCGUCGGCUAUACAUCAAUUCGUCGGCUAAACCUUCUAAAUUCGUCGGCUAAAACUUUGAAAUUCAUCGGCUAAACUUUAUAAAUUCGUCGGCUAAACCUUUGAAAUUCGUCGGCUAACCUUUGAAAUUCGUCGGCUAAAAGUAUUUUUAUACAUUUGGCACAUUGUGAUGAUCAAACUUGAGAAAAAUAAAUCCGACCGUCAGAUCUGACCAUCAUGAUAAAAUACAUGUAUGGAAAAAAAUUCAACUUGAUCCGACAAGAAUAAGGGCUCGAUCCGGACGGUCAAUCUCGUAAGUCAAACCCCUAAACGCACGGAAAAGGUCGUUCGACUGUCUAAAUUAUGUAUUUUGGCCGGACCUCCAACUGAAAAUAGUUUUAAAUCGAUGACACGCAACAAGUCGUAUAAAAAUUUUACGCAAAAUAACCACCAAAUAUAGGGCUACUCAUUGGGGGAAAGAAUGAAAAAUUGCAUUGACCGCAACUAUCGGCACCAAAUAUUUACCGGAAUAGUGUGACUUUUCAACCGUGGAUGUAUUUCAACAUUCUCGUCAUAUCUUAUUUCAUGACUUUUUGGCGUUUGAAGGUUUUACAUAUAGUUUGCUUUUGAAACGGAACAUUUACAUAACACUUGGUAAACAAGUUAUACAACAUUAGUAUGCAUGCUGUGAUUGUGAUGAUCAAACUUGAGAAAAAUAAAUCCGACCGUCAGAUCUGACCAUCAUGACAAAAUACAUGUAUGGGAAAAAAGUCAACUUGAUCCGACAAGAAUAGGGGCUUGAUCCGGACGGUCAAUCUCGUAAGUCAAACCCCUAAACGCACGGAAAAGAUCGUUCGACCGUCUAAAUUACGUAUUUUGGCCGGACAUCCAACUGAAAAUAGUUUCAAACCGAUGAGACGCAAGAAGUCGUCUAAAAAUUUUACGGAAAAUAACAACCGAAGAUAGGGCUAUAGUAGGUAAUAGAAAAAUUUUAGGGUUUAGCUGACGAAUACCCUAACGUAUUCGUCGGCUAUAGUAUGUAAUUAAAAAAUUAAAAAAUAACUAAAGCCGAUGAAAUAUUAGGUUAUUCGUCGGCUAAAACUUUAUUAGCCGACGAAAUACACUAUAAUUCGUCGGCUAAGAUGGUUUUAG